This 15887-nucleotide long non-coding RNA is filed under the name Lactuca sativa (garden lettuce). RNAcentral's name for it is "long non-coding RNA (LSAT_LNC005702)". The record is from RNAcentral. Lineage: Eukaryota; Viridiplantae; Streptophyta; Magnoliopsida; Asterales; Asteraceae.
UCCUCUCUCUCUCAUGUGUAACCUAUAAAAAAAAAGUAAAUUUCACGAAUGGUCCUUAUGGUUUGGAAUGAUUUGUACAUUUGAUCCCUAAUAUUUUUUUAACUCAAACCAUCCUAUAGUGUGAUUUUAUUGAAUUGCUGAACAACUUAAAACUCAAACCAUCCUAUAGUGUGAUUUUAUUGCGUAACAACUUAAAACGACUCUGUUAUACCUUUCUUAUUUAUUAAUUUAUUUUAAUUUAUUUGUUUAAACUUUUAUAUUCAUAUAUAUUGAAAGAUGGGUCCCACUCAUCUCCAUAUGUGUAACCCAGAGAGAAAAAAAUAGGUCGAGGCCCUUAUCCACCUAAAGGUUUAUUAUCUUCCUCAGUUUCUCGAGAGAAUCACUUCCAUCGACAUCCCCUAUUCUUGACUUCAACCUGCAAAUCAGAAAUCUAAGUAGAGAGGAACCCCAUGAUAACACCAUUUGCAACUAAAAGAAACCCACCUAAAAGUUCGUAUAACUCAACCUCGAUUGUUAUGAUGGAGUACAGAUGAUUUGUAGAAAUGUGGAGGCGUAGAUGAUACUGUUCUGGAUCCGAAUUUUCUAAGCUUCGGUUUCCGACGAUUGGUGAAACUCAACCCACAACUUGGUAAGGAAACGCGAAUAAUGUUGCCAGCUAUGGCGCUGUUUGAUCCCCUUUAUCUGAUUCCAAUUUAGUAGAUAUGAGCCUCUCAUCCAAAAUGACACCCUUUUCUCGAUCUAUAAAAGCUGUAAAUCAAAGGUAAGAUUUGGAUUUUGCAAUGUAAACAACUCCACCUGUUUAAAUCAAAGUCCCAUUUUGACUUUUUCAAUUGCACAUUGUCCUUUGAGGCUGAUGAUUCUCUUCAUAAAUAGAUACUUCCGUUGAUUAAGUGGAUUUUAGCAAAUUUGAUUCUCUUCACUCGAUUCCGUAUUUGUCACCUCCCUGUUUUAUCAGCAAAACCAAAAUGACCUGCAUAAUCAAAAUAAACUAAGUUUUUUGUUCGUCGGGUUAUAAGGGGUGAAAUCCGAUCGAAAGCGCUCCAACUAGUUUAGGGGACGACGCUCAAGUUAAGCUUGGCAGGGCUAUUAAGUUCCAUCCAUUUGUGGUUCUUAAAUAGGGUUGUAAGUGAGCCGAGCUAUUAGUGGGUUACUCGGGAUCGACUCGUUAGAAACUCGACUCGAGGUCGAAUUAAACGAGCAUGAUCCAAGCUCGAGCCUAAAUAUGAGGCUCGUUUAUUAAACAAGCUCGAGCUGAACUUCAAUUACUUGGCUCGCGAGCUUAAAUGAGCCUCUCUUAUAUAUAUAAAGGCUCAUUUAGGCUCACGAGCCCACUAAAUUAUUCACGAGCCGAGCUCAAGCUUCAUUUUAAGGCUCGAAUCGAACUCUAGCUCGAGCUUCCUCAAAAUUAAACGAGCCGAGUUCGAGCUUAGUCACGCUCGGACUCGGCUCUUUUAUACCCCUAUUCUUAAAGAUAAGAGAGUAGAGAGAGAGAGAGAGAUGGUUAUCAGGUUUACACAGAUUGUCGUUCCGAUAGUAACAGAGGAUACUAGAAUUUCAUGUGAUGUUUCUUGCAAGUUGCAAUUAGAUGUGAGAGAACGAUGAAGAUAUAAAAGGUAAGAAAGAGGUAAGGAAGUUGAUGUAUGCCACGGAAGAUGGGAGAGAAGAGAGGGUGGGUGGGACCCACAUGUAUUAAACAAUUUGUUUUAUAGUUUCUUUUAAUAAGUUAAUAAUAAAUAUAAUAAUUAAAAUAAUAGAUACAGGUAUAACUGUCUUUUUAAGUCGUUUAGGGACCAACGACAUGAUAAAAUCAAACUACAGGAUAGUCCGAAUUAAAAAAAAAAAAAGUUACGGGUCAAGUGUGCAAAUCACCCCAAACCACAGGGACCAUUUGUGUAGUUGAUUAUUAUGUAUAAAGAAGAAGAGAGGGGUUAUGACUUACAAAGGGGUAAGUAAGGGAGAGGGAGGUUAUGAGUUAAUAUGGGACCCAUUUAUGAACUAUACCUAAGGUUGGAAUGAUUUUUAAUAAAUUUAUGAAUUAUAUGUAAUUACGUAAAUACAAUGGAAUGUUUAAAUUCUACUUUAUAUAUUAUUUGAUCAUUUUUAUAAUCUUUGUAAUAUGAAGUUGUUUUUGUUAGACGAUAAAAUUAUAAUUUUUCUCAUCCAGUUAGAGAGGGUGCUUGACAUACUUUUGAAAUGAUUUUUUGGUUUUUUUUUUUUCAAAUCAAAAAGUUUAAAAAGAUGUUUGAGAAUUCUAAAAGUUUUUUUAAAUAGUUUUUUGGUAAGAAGAAAAUACAUUUUUUAAAAGUUUUUUUUAGAAUAGCUUUUUGGCAAGAAGAAAAUAUAUUUUUUAAAAGUUUUUUUAAAAUAGCUUUUUGGCAAGAAGAAAACACAUCUUUUUUAAAAAUCAUAAAAUACUAGUUUUAGAUUACUUUUUUAAAAGUAAAAAACUAAAAACUAUUCCAAACACAAUUUAAAAACAUAUUUUGACAAAAAUAAAAAGUCAAUAAAGUUUUUUAUAAAAAGGCCUUUUGAAAGCGAAACACACCUUCAACAAAUAGUGAAUCAUUAGACCUUUGAAUAGUUCAGGCCUGGCGUCUUAAUUAUUCAGCAUGCACUGAAUCUUUCGGUUUCUGCUAAAAAAAACCCAAAUAACUCUGAUCUCUUAAUGUGUCUACUUCAUCACAAUUCACAAAAUAGCUCAAAGCUAAAACUUGAUACAUUAAUGCUACAAACUUUGUAUCACUUUGAGAGGAAAAGAGGGGUUCAUACACUCUUUUUAUGACUUGCCAUUAAUCCUUUCUACAACUGUGAUAAGCCCCUGAGUCCCAAGCUUACCGUCCCCAUUAGCAACCAUACCGGAAAAUAAUUGCUUAGAUAAAGCAGCGCCGGGCAACACCACCACCUUAUCACCCUCCUCCUCCACAACAUCUAAACCCAUCCCUAAAUCUUUCACCAUGUACUCAGCAAACCCACCAGGCCUAAAGUCUCUUCCGAUCAUCCUUUCCCCAAAUAAAUCCAUCGCUAUAGACCCUGCAGCUCCUCCCCUCACCGCCUCCAACCACCGUCCCUUAUCCAGCCCUGCCGCCUCAGCAAACACCAGUCCUUCACUCAACCCCAACAAACUCCCACCCACUGUGAUCUGAUUAGCAAUCUUACAGCUCUGUCCACACCCAGCAACACCCACGUAAGUCGGUUUCCCCAUUAAAUUAAACAAAGGAGAUAGCCACUUCACAACGCCUUCAUCUCCGGCAGCUAGUAUAGCCAAUUUCCCUUCUCUAGCGCCAAUAUCACCACCGGAUACCGGAGCAUCGACGGACCAGCAAUUCUUCUCGCGGGCAGCAUCAAAAAUCUGUUUCGCAAGAGUUGGGUGGCUGCUAGUGUGAUCGAUUAUGACACUGCCGGGGUUUAAAGAAGAUAGAAUUGAAUCAGGAUUCUCUAAGACAAUUUGUCGAACAUCUGAUGGGUGUCCCAGCAUUGUGAAUACCACAUCGCUUGCUUUGGCGACUUCCGAUGGGGAGUCAACGAGAUGGGCGCCUUGCGAUUGGAGUGAUAGGGUUUUGGAAGGGGUUCGAGCGUAGAUGUUGAGCACGUAGCCGGCGGAUAGAAGCCGGGAGGCCAUUGCAGCGCCCAUUACUCCUGUGCCUAUCCAUCCGAUUCGGGUUUGUGAUGGGGUUAUCGGUGUUGGGUACGGACUGUUCAUCGUGGAGAAGGAAAAUGGUCCGCCGGAGAUGAGGAAUAAACGGUGUUUGGUCGAUAAAAGUGUUUGGUUUUUGUCGUUAACAUAGAGAAAAUUACAUAAUUGGUCUGUAUGGUUUCUCAAAUUUACAAGUUCAUCCCCUAACUUUUUCGGUUUAUAUGAUGAUCUUUCUAGUUUUUAUUUGUUGCAUGUUGGUCUCUAAUCUAUAUAAAAUUACUUAUAUAUAAUUUUUAAUUUCUUUUACAGUUUGUUUUUAAUUGUUUUAGAGGGAAAUAUCCAGAAAAGUCGUAGUAUUUACCAUAGUUUACGAAAAAGUUCCAACUAAAUUUUGUUUACGAAAAAAUAUGAAUUACGGGUAAAAAUGACGAUUUAAUCAAAUUUUCACAGUUUAUCGGUUUCAUUACUUAUCCGGUUCCAUUAAAGUUUCAUUAUUUUACUAUAAUUUGUGAAUAAGUCUCAAACUAAAACUUAGUGAUGAUUUGACCAUUUUCUCCAUGUAAUAUAUAUUUUACCGGUUUCAUUACUGACAUGAACGCCUAGUCAUUAAAUGAGCUGAUGAGAUGGAUACUAUGAGUUAUAUAAUGAUAUGUUUACCGUAAAAUUUGAUAUCCAUCUCAUAACUCAUUUAUGAUUAUGUAAGGUCAACAAUGAAACCGGUAAAAUAUGUAUUUUUGGUCAAGGCCAACCUAAAGGGAGGGCAAGCUGAGCAACCGCCCUAGGCCUCGCCAAAUCUCGCGGCCCCUAUAAAUUAUGAUUAAUACAUGUAUAGUUUUUCUAUAUAAAAUAUAAUGUACAUCUGAAUCGACAAAGGUACUUGGAGUUGAGAUGGUUGAGGCCCCGACAUAGCAAUCUUAAGAGCUGGUAUGCCCUGUGAUCGAAUCUUGGUCUUUUCUUUAUAAUCGAGUUUUCGUAUUUUUCUUUAUAAUCUAGUUUUGUAAUGGUUUUUUAAGAGGUCCUUCUCUCAAAGCGACUUUUUAGUUUUCAAGAAACAAUUGAAUCAACUGAAUCGCCUUCCCAAUGCGAGUUUUGAUUUCGAGAGUGAUUUUUUUAUUUUUUAAGAAGAAACCAAACCACCUUCCCAAAGAUACUUCACUUAUAAUUCUAGGGUCUUUAUCGAUUAAGACCUUGUGUUCUGGGGCGACUUCAAGCUUUCUUAGUUCGUUUCAACGAGUUCAAGCUUCCCAAUGUUCUAAGGCGACUGUAUAUAAAUCUCAAAUCAGUGCCUUUAGUCUUCCUUGGUUCAUUUCAAGAAGUUCAAAUGUAUUGAUUAUUUAUUUUGGUUUUGCUUGAUUUAUGAUAUUCCUUGACCUAAACCAACACUUGUAUGCAUUGCUCUAUUGUGUCCCUUUGAGUUUUUGAAUUAAAGGGUAUAAAUUAACUGGUCUAGCAUAAGCUGAUCGGGCUAAAGACCGGCAAUGUUCGGACCACUUAUUUAAAGGAGUUAAUCCUUUUGUGUCUUGAAAAAUGCUUUCAUAUUGGUCCAGUAAAGUCUUGAUGAACAUAGUAGCUCCUUCAUAUACUAAGUUAUUUGAUGAUUACUUUAUGUUUGCGAUUUUUGUUGCAUUGCAAAUAUGGGAUGCAUUAUACAUGUGAUUUUUAGUUCAUUAAAUUUAGUUAUUUGAGCAUAAUUAUCGAAUGUGGUGCAAGUUAUUUUUAGUUUCAAUAGUUAUAAUUAAGGGGUUUUUCUUAUCAAACAUUGAAGAAUCUUGUAUAUGUAUUACUAUUUGUCUUGGUAAUGAGAAGUCAAACGCAAAUUUGGAGCCAAUAAUACAUUGUACUUAUCUAAUGUUGCAUGCUUAACACAAUUGUAAAAGGGUUCAAAUUUCAGUGAAAUAUGCAUUGCUAUUCUACAUUCUUUGGGUGUUUUGGAUCUAUAUUGGAAAACUUGAGGCUAGUAUUGCUUAAAGUCUUCUUUACAAUACCUUGAUAUUCACAAGAUGGGUAAUGCGCAUCGUAAUUGUAUGUAUUUGUAUUUGCUUGCUCUGUGUUAGCCUUUCAAUAAAUAAAAUCAUUGGAUGUUAAAAAAACUAUAAGUUUUGAAUUUUGAAGGGCCUUGUUUUCAUUUUUGUCCCAGACCUUAAAUCGGUUUGGAUCGGUCCUGUUUUCGGUAAAAAGGGCAGGAAACGAGCUAAUGAGAUAUAUAUAAUGGGAUACAUAGGAUUAAAUAGACAAUUUGAAAUUUAUUAUAAACUUAAAAAACGGUGAAGUUGUUGCUAGUUUAUGUAAUUUUUGCAGUCUUCAGUGGAUGCAUUUUAUAUUCCGAAAAAUAUACAAUACAUCAGGAUAUCAAGUUUUAUGGUAAACAUAGCAUUAUAUAACCCAAAUCAACUUAUUUAAUGACUAUGCGUUCAGGUCAACAAUGAAACCGGUAAUAUGUAUAUUACAUGGAGAAAAUGGUCAAAUCAUCACUAAAUUUUAGUUUGGGACUCAUUCGUAAAUUAUGGUAAAAUAGUAAGACUUUAAUGGAACCGAGUAAAUAAUGAAACCAAUAAAUCGGGAAAAUGGGUCAAAUCGUCAUUUUUACUGGUAAUUCAUGUUUUUUCUUAAUCAAAUUUUAGCUUGAGACUUUUUCAUAAAUUAUGGUAAAAUAUUAUGACAUUUUUGGAUAUGCCCUUUUUUAGGAGCAAAAAAAAAGAUUGAAAGGAAAAAAGGUGUUCUUAUAAUUUCUUAAGAGGAAAGGAAAUNNNNNNNNNNNNNNNNNNNNNNNNNNNNNNNNNNNNNNNNNNNNNAUGAAAGAGAAUAAAGGAAAAUUAUGUUUGUAUGAGUUCAAUUUUUAGCGGAUUAAAAAGAAAAGUAAAAAAAAAAUGAUUAUACCAUUACAUUUCUCAAUUCCUCUUUAAACUUAGGGGGUGUUUGAGAUUGCUAUUAAACAUCAAAAGUCCUUUUUGUAAAAUGACUUUUUUUGUAAAAGAAGCUCUUUAAAAAGUAUUUGGAUUAGCAAAAGACUUUUAGCUUAACUUUUACAUGUAAAAUCACAAAAAGUCAGGUUUUUGUGACUUUUUGAAACCCCUCAUUUUACUCUAUACAAAAAGUCAUUCAAAAAAGAAUUUUUCUAUUACCCAAAUAUCUUUUUAACUUUUUGAAAAAGUUAAAAUUCAAAAGUCAUUCUAAAACAAUCUUAAACACCCCCUUAAUAAUACAUAAUCCCAUAUCCUUUUUCCUAUUACAUCCUCUCAUUUCUUUCCUUCUCUAUAAUUUUUAAUCUUAAGAGCAAGGUGUUAGCCUUCUCGGUUUCUUUGCAAUUAAAUAAAAUUAAAACGCCCUUCAACCCCUGUGGUGACUAUUUUUUAAAAUGUAAAAUGUCUUUAAUAUUUUUUUAUGUUUGUGGAAUAAAAUAUGGACCAAAAGUCUUUUUCUAUGUACAUUAGUCUUUUCAUAAAGUAUAUGUUUUUUAAAGUCUUUAUGAAAAAAGAUCAGUGGUGUUGGUGGUGGCUACGAUGGUGAAGGUGGCGGAAAUGAUGGUGGUGGUGGUGGCAGAGUUAGAGGAGGUGGGGCGGCAGAGGUGGUAGUGGACUGGUGGUUGUGGAAGUGACAUCGAUAAUAAAGCGGUGAUGGCGACGGUGAUGAAAAAAGAAACAUCUUCCAAAAUCAAAAACUAUUUUUUUUAAGAUCAAAAUGACUUUUUUAUGUCUUUUGUUUUUUUAAAAACAAACCAUAUUUUCCUUAAAUGUCUUUCAUACAUAGAAAUAAGAGGUCAAAUUUUUUUUUUUUUUUUUGCAAACAACACGUAAGUCACCAACUAUACAAAAUAUUAUCAUUCUCUCAAGACGACAAACUUUACCUAUUGCUGAUGAAGAUCAAGAUUGGAGCAAAGAGACACGAGUAAGGGGAGGUCGUUGUUAUUUAUGAAUGAUUUCUGUAAAAACCUCCAUCAACACAUCCAUCAUUGCUCCAUAAUGGAUUAUACUUUUUCAUAUAAUGAUUUGUGGUGCUGGUGCAAUGAAGAGAUUUCAGUGUAAAUCCCUCGGUUUAACUUUUCAUAUGUUCUCAAUGAUGAUUAGAAAUAAACUUGCAUUGACAUCUUUAUAUACGAAUUGCAAAAGGGGUUGAAGAUUCUUACUUGUUUCUCUUUUAUAUGUUGUCAAUUCUUAUGUAAAUCCCGCUAAAUUUGGAUGAAGAAAAAGGAGAGUGAACGGCUAGGUUUAUCGACGGAAGCAUUUAUUCUUCAAAAGGAGCUCACCAGUUUGGAAAUAUUCACCUACUUGAUAAGGGGGUGUUUAUAUUGCUUAUUUAACUUAAUAAUUUAAAAUAUAUAUAUAUUUAUUAGUUUAUGUGAUGGUAAAAAUAAGUUUUUUAAAAAAAUAUUUGGAUUAUUUUAUAUUAUGACAAAAAAAACACAUGAAUCGAUAAGCUUUUUUAAUGUUUGAAUUAGCUUAAAUAUGUAUAUGUAAAAUGACCAAUGAUAUGCCUUACAUACUUGUAACUAUUUAAUAUUUUUAUAUAUAAGAUUUUAUGUAAAUAUAUUAAAUUAUAAACUAAAAUGUUAGAUUUUGAUGGAGGUAUUAUUGUGGUUUCAUAUUUAUAAGUAUAAAUUGUUUUAAAAAGUAAAAAAAAAUGUAACUUAUAUAGAAAAUGACUUUUUGAGGUUGGUAAAAAGUUAUUUACUAAUGUGUUUAUUAGCUUUCCAAAUAUUUUUGACUUUUUGAGAAGUUAAUAAAUCAACAAAUCAUUUUAAAACUUAAUCCUAAACACCCGUUAAGUUUGCGAUAAUCACGAUUCACAAGCAUUAUAUUGUCAAAUCAUUAUUUGAAGGACAGAUUGCUAAAGAAGAUAAGCAAACAACUUUGCAUGUUUAUCGUUCAUAUAUUGUUUAAGCAUUGAAUAUUAAGUAUUAAAAGAAUAUGAUAUUUGUUAGAAGUUCAUUCAUUGUUAUUUCUCAUCCGGUAAAACUUGUUAGUCAUAAAUAAGUAAAUAACCAGUUCCUUAUUAUGUAUAUUCCAUAUCAUGCUUAAGGAUUGGAUUGUACAAAGCUUAUCGAAUGAAAAUGGUUCCUUAAACUUUUUGGAAUCAUAUCCGACCUUGCUUUUAUAGAAUGUAUAAUAUUUUGAAUAAUUAUGUAUCAUUCUCUUUAUUCUCAAAGAUAUUCAUAGAUUACAAUGAAGAGUCUUAUAACUUGUAAAAACUCAACAUACCCAACAUCAUCAUCUGUUAUAUCAAUUUAGGACUAACAGACAGGUGGUUUUCAUAGACUUACAACACAAACCUCACUACACAAGCCCUAUACUACUCUCAAUAACAGGUCACUCAACCUAAUCUAAAAGAUGAUUAAGAACAACAAACUUAUAUUGCAAGAAUNNGUAGUGUGUGUGUAGGGACGUAUGGAGUUAAAGAAAUAGAAAAAGAACUUGGGUGGUGGAGGUGUUUCUAUGGGAUUGGAAAGUUAUUCAUAGACAACGAUUUUUCUUCAUACACAAGGAUUUAUGUUUUAUAGAGUUGUACAAUACAACAUUUUGAAACACAAAUUAUUGUGUAUGGAGAAAAAUUGGAUCACGUAAAAACAUGUAAGUGGUCAGUGGAUAAGGUGUAGAACCGAAAUAACGGUAGGUUUCUGGAACAAGUAAUUUUUCGUGUAUUUAUUUAAAGAAAAAAAAACAGAAGAUGAUGAUGAUGACGGUGUCUAUAAUAUGGUGAAAUAGUCAUCGUUAAGAUAGUUUUAAAAUGGUUUAAAAGUCAUUAGAUUUUAAAUUCGAUUUUGAAGUUUAAAAGUGUUGGGAAUAGGAUCCUAUUCUUCAAAAUAGCUUUAAUUUCUUUGAAAUAGCAAUGUUAAAUCAAUUAAAUCAUUACAGAAAUUUCAAGUAGAUUAAUGUAAAUCGUAAAAUUAUUGUUAACAACUAUUUAGUCUAGUUGAAUAGCUUUUCUAUUGUGUGAGAAGUCUUAGGUUCAAAAGUUGUAAUUUUAAUAUCUAUAAUUUAUUUUAUUAUUCCCAUUCCAUCCAUUUAUCCAAAAAAAACAAAAUAGAAGGAUAACCUCGGGAGAGAAGGACGUUGAUCGAGCUUUUCCAUGCUAAAUCCCAGUUUCGGUUAAAGACCCAGAACGUGCUACAGAUCUAUACUAAUGAAGUUUUUAUGUGAGAAAGUCAAGCCAGGAAGUCCUUCUCUCAUUCUGGUGCUUGUAAGAUAAGACCAGCAGAUGAAUUAGGAAAGAGGAUCUAUGCCCGGUUAAAGUGAAAGGUUGUAGUGAGAGCGACGAGGCUUACUUUCUCUUUGGUUCAGCUACUAAAUAGAUAAGUCCUUUCUGCUCGACUAUAGCCAUCAGAGUGGGGAUGAGGCAGAAACACUUGCCGCACGUGAUAAUGCCACAUUAGAUAGAAGGCUUGUACAAAAAAAACCGGUUUACGAUCCGAACCGGUGGCCGAACCAAAAACCGGUUCACCCUUGAACCGGACCACUGUUGAAAUGAUCCGAUGCCAAACUGAACCGCCGGUUUGUAGUAAUUAGGACUUCUAGCCAUUCGAACCGGUUUUGAACCGGUUUAUGCUGAACCGGUCAAGAAAACCGGUUUUGAACUGAUUUUGAACCUGUCUAGAGAACCGGCCUUACAAAUUAACCAUGCAUAUAUUAGCCAUGAUAUCCUAAGAAACAAAGCAAACAUUGUAAAAAAGAAGCAAUUCCGUUCGAUUUUUUUGAAAUGGCACACCGGACCGAUUUUGAACCGGUUUAUGGUGAACCGAUUUGAGGUGAACCGGUUUAUAUUGAACCGAACCGGUUUGUAUAGGUUCGAAUUAUUUUGGUGGUGAACCGGUUUGAAACCGAACCGGUUUUAACCUUGUUGACCAGAACUGAACCGGUUUUUUGAACCGGUCCGGUUUAAAAAAAUGGGUUUGUGCACGCCUAGAUGCAUAGUUUUUUGUAUUUAAAUGGGCCUCCAAAAUGGGCCGAGUCUGUUUAUUCAUGCAAUGAUGUAGGGCUGCAAGAGCAUUAGUGAUUUUAGGACAAACAUGUUAAAUUUCAAGAUAAAAUACGACCCAAUUAAUAGUCAAAACUUAAAAACACAAAAUAAAAACAACUUAUUUUAAAAAUAAAAUACAAUACAAACACUUAUCAACGCUGAGUCCCAAACUCAUAGCCAUGUAAAUUAAGACCUCGUAUAAGGGUCUUAUUAUAUUAUUCCAUAAAUUUUAUACUUCCAUCAAUACCAUAUAUAUUAAUAUUAGGUUCUUGGAGGAAUAAUCAUCAAACUCGUUGUAUUCUUGGCGGAGCCAGGAAUUUUGAUAUGGGGGUACAAACAUUAUCAAUAUAUAUUCUAUGUAGUUAUCAUAUCCCGGACAUUAAAAAACAUGGUACAAUAUCUUAAGUUGGGGGUACAAUAACAUAGAUCAUGUUUACAAACAAAUUUUUUUUAUAUACAUAAAACAAUUUUUUGGGGAUGCUGUAGUACCCCCAACGCCCCAUCUAGCUCCGCCACUGCUUUAAAUCAAAAGAGAUGGAAACUAUGUAUGAAUCGAAAAUCUGGAGGGCGUUAAAAUAUAUAGGCCACUUUCUUGUACUAUUAUGAGUUAAAUGCAUGUUUAUCCCCUCACGUUUUUAUUUUUUAAAUUUAUCAUUUUAUGUAAUGAAAUGGAUUUCUUAAUGAUUCAUACAACAAUGUAUACUGACACCAUUAAUUUGUAUGUUAAUUUAUGUAAUAAAGCUAAUUUCUACAUAACUUGGUAAGCUUUUAAUUAACAACUUGAGACGUUGUAUAAUUUGGCUCAAAAGCUAUCUUAUUUAAUCAUUGCAGAUUUUUGCCGGUAUAGAGCAUCCACAAUUAGUAGAGUUUAUGUUUUUUUUAUGACAUCAAAUCAUAUAUAACUCAUCAAUUUAUAAAGUUCUAAACAAUCUCCAAAAUAUAAGAGCUUUUCCACGAACUUAUUUAUUGAAUCCACCAAAUAAAAAGCCGCUAUUUUGCUUUUCUUUUUCCAGGAAAAUCACUAGGGCGUUUGUUUAGUUUGAUUCCUAAGGAAUGGAAAGGAAUCGGAAACUAAAAUCCAAUAGCAAAUGUGUUUGGCUUUCAAAGGAAUGGAAUAUGAUUUCCAUAAGUACUUUUUAAUUUCGAAGAUUUCUCAUUCAUCCCCCAUGUAUCAAGAAUCCACAUUCUGUUAGCUUAUCUUUUUUUUAUUUAUUUAAAUUACAGAAUUAUCCUCCUAUAUAUAUGGGAUUCUUGUAAAACAAAAUCAUCUAUGUGAUUUUUCAUAUCUUUUCUACGAUUACCUUCUUCUAUCGAUUAUAUAUAUAUAUNNNNNNNNNNNNNNNNNNNNNNNNNNUAUAUUUUUCUCCAAUCGGUAUUUGUCAAAAAAAUCAUCUAUCGAUCAUAGCUAUUGUGUUGCCGUAUUUCACCUCUGGUUCGUCAUUCUUCUACUGCUUUAAUGUAUCUAUCAUCUUUGUUUACAGGUAAACAUCUCAUGUUUUAUUUUUCUGCAAUUCACUGUGUUCAACCAUUUUUUUAUAUAUUUGUAAUCUAUGAUUCAUCUUUGCAUGAUAGAAAAUAGAAUAAUUUUUUAACAUUUGUGAUGCUUACUACAUCUCUUGUUUCUUUGUGUGAAAUAUGAACAAUUUUCUUUACAUGAUAUGUACGUAUAAGAUUUUUGCUUUAGAUUUAUUAUGUGGGAAGUGCAGCUACUCCUUUUUUAACUAUGCCUACCAAGUGUUUGUAGUAUUGCCUAUGUGGUAUUUUUUAUAUUUGCCGUUAUGAGCUUUUGAUUUUCUUUUGCUUUUUACUCCUAUUACUAAUAAAGAUUAUUUUAUUGGAGAAGAUGAUAUACAAGUCCAAAACAUUAUUUUAAAAGCUAUAAUUAUCAACCAUUCAAUUCAUAAAUAAGUUCACAGAUUAGUUUGUUUGCAUGCUUCAUACAUUAUUUGAUAAGUCCAAUUGAUUCUGUUUUUCAUAGUAAAUAUACCUACGGAUUUCCAAGGUAGACGGAUAUAUACACUUUUAAAGAUGCAAUGUCAUUAUUUUUUUAUGAUUGCAUAUGAACUUGCAACUCAAAUAUGUUAAUGAUCUAAUUUCAUAAAAAUAUAAAAUAUUAUUUCUUUGAAAUGUAAAAUUUUCCUUGUAUGAGAGAUGAACAGGAAAUGGCACGGCUUAGUCUAACUAGAAGCAAACAUAGAAAGAGGAUAAAUCAAAUAGUUGUUACGUUUUGGAAUGAAUUUUAUCACGGUGUGCAAGUUACUACAAAUAUACGGAGGGGAUAAACCACGUAUCAAAAACAUAUCUUCAAAUGUGGAUCGACAAUCAAUAUUGCACAAAUAUGCUUACAAAAGAGACAAUACGUGCAUAUCACACCUUAGGAUGACCCGAAGAUGUUUUACAAAGUUGUGUGACAUGCUUCAUACAUUAGGUGGGUUAAGAUCAAGUAGACAUGUUGAUAUUGAUGAACAAGUGGCCAUAUUUCUUCACAUUAUUGCACAUAAUGUGAAGAACCGGGUCAUGAUCAUAGACCGUUUCCAACAUUCUGGCGAAACAAUUAGCAAAAUUGUUACGCGAGUUUGCAACGCAGUGAUAAGGUUGCAUCCACAUUUGCUUAAGAAACCCGAACCUGUUACAGAAAACUCUACAAAUCAAGAUGGAAGUGGUUUAAGGUAUAUAUACUACUUAUAAAAUUUUCACGUAGUGUAUAAAUUUCUUGAUAUAAUAUAUGACCAUUUCUUUUCUUAUAUCGUGUAGAACUGUCUAGGAGCUUUAGAUGGAACACAAAUAAAGUGCUUAGUGCCACUUAAAGACAAGCCUAAAUAUAGGACACGAAAAAAUGAUAUUGCCACAAAUAUACUAGGUGUGUGUUCACAAGAUAUGCAGUUUAUCUAUGUUUUACUGGGGUGGGAGGGCUCAGAUGUGGAUGGUAGAGUGCUUCGAGAUGCCCUACUUAGGCCACAUGGAUUGAAGGUCCCGAGGCCGGGUAUGUAUAAUAAUUGGUAUUGUGGAUAUAUAUUAGUUAUAGUUAUUAAUUAUACUAACUAUAUUAUACAUAGGUUAUUAUUUGGUGGAUGCUGGUUAUAUAAAUGGUGAAGGAUUCUUAGCCCCAUAUAGAGGUCAAAGAUAUCAUUUGAAUGAUUGGCAUGUUGGACACCAACCAACUACACCUAAAGAAUUAUUCAACAUGAGACAUUCUUCUGCUAGAAAUGUUAUAGAAAGAUGUGUUGGUAUUUUGAAGGCGAGAUGGGGAAUUUUAAGAGACAAAUCAUAUUAUCCUAUUAACCUUAAAAAUAAGAUUAUAAUGGCUUGUUGUCUUCUUCAUAAUUAUAUAAGGCAAGAAAUGACAGUUGAUCCAUUUGAGAACCGCUUUGAACUAGACGAGGGAACUGGAGAUGUCGGUGGUGGAGAUGAUGAUAAUAUCACUUCUGUUGGUAUAUCAAAUAAGUGGACUACAUUUAGAAACUAUGUUUGAUUCUUGGCAUACUACACAUUGAUCAUUUCUUUUUUGUUAUGUUUAUGAUUUACUAUGAAUGAAUUUGUGCUACCUUUGUUAUUUUUAAUAAUAAAGUUUUAUUUAUUUUUACUAGUUAUAUUUUUUUAUAUAUAUGGUUGGGUAUUAUUGUAUUGCAUGCAUUUUUUCAUCUAUUUUUUUUUGUUUAUAAUAAUAGGUGUGAUGGAAAAAAGCAGAAACUGUCGCAACUGGACUAUUACUGAAGAUGUCAAGCUUGUGGCAGCAUUGGUAAAUAUGGUGAACAUGGGAGGAUUUAAAGCAGAUAAUGGUUUUAAAUCUGGAUAUUUAGAACAUCUAGAAAACGCAUUAAAGGAAAAAAAAUUCCAAACUCUGGCAUUUUGGGUAAACCCCACAUUGAGUCAAUGAUCAAAACUAUGAAAAAAGAAUGGCAAGUCGUUUAUGAUAUGGUGAAUGGUACGAACACAAGUGGUUUCGGUUAUGAUAACUCCACUCAUUUUGUAACAGCUGAACCAUCAGUUUGGGAUUCUUAUUUACUGGUACAAUAUUAAAAUUCUUAUAUAUUUUAUGACUUUUUAACUAUUUAUAUUAUAUUUUUAUGUGCUAAUGUUUUAUGAUACACAAUAGGUUCAUAAAGAGGCUGGAAAAUGGAGAAAUAAGAUAUUUCCUCAUUACGAGGAUUUAUGUAUCAUUUUUGGAAAGGAUUGAGCUCAAGGAAAUAAAGCCAAGGGUUUUGCCCAAAUGGAAGAAGAUGCAAACAAUGAAGAACAAUCUGAACAAGCAGAAGGCGGUUUUGAAGAACAAACCACAGAAAAUGAAGAAUCUCCAAACGUGGGCUCCAAAAAGAGAAAAGGUAGAGUUGAUGUUGUUAUUAAGGGAAUAACUAUUGCAGCUAAUGUCCUUGGAGAAAAACUUGAAAAAGCGGCGACUAGCAUGAAUCAAGCAAUACUAGGAGAAACAGAAGUACAAAAAAAAAAAAAAAAAAAAAAAAAAAAAAAAAAAGAAAAAAAAAAAAAAAAAAAAAAAAAAAAAAAAAAAAAACUUUGAUGGUGAUUCCCGAAAUUUCAAAAAUGCAGUCAUUGAGUACCUUGGAUAUGUUCAAAGCAAGUAGGAAAAUAAUACGUGAUCCGGAAACCGUGUUAAGCUUUUGGAAUUUGGAAGGAGAAGAUUGGGAGGAUUUUGUGAGGUUUAUGUUGAAAGAGUGAUAUGAUUAUGAAUUAGGUAUUUAGACAACAUUUUACGUAGUGCGUGGUUAACUUUUUUUUUAAUUUAAUAUUGGGAAUAAUGAAUGGCUUCGUUGUUUUAUAUUAUUAUAUAUAAUCAUUUGUUUCAAUUUAAAAAAUAUAUUUAUUAUUUGUAGUUGUUCAACGAAAUGCAAGUUAGUUAUUUUUUUUAAUUUAUAUUUUGUAGAAUAGUUCCAUAAAAAGAUGUUGUAAUUAAAUAAAACUGUCUUAAAAUAAUUAAAUAAAUAAAACUUUAUCUUGUUUAUUAAAAAAUAUAAAGGGUAUUGUCGUCAUAUUAUAAAAUUUAUUUUCCAAUUCCUUUGUAAAAUCAACAAACCAAACAGAAAACAUAUUUCAUGUCCUCCAAAUGCAUUUCAGCUUCUAGUACAUUCAGAUUCCAAUUCCUUCAGAAUCCAAUUCUUUUGACAGAUUUCAUUCCUUCAAAAAACAUUCUGCGAAACAAACGCCCCUAAAAAUUGAGAAUGGUUUAGAAAGACCAUUCAUAUUUAAAAACUUUUCAAAAAAACAUUAUUUUUUAAUAAUACAAUCGUAAUUUCUAACCAUGGACCAAAGUUUAUUAACCACUAGGAUUGAGAAUAGUUUGGGAUUU